UUGUUGGUAGCAAUACUGACAUGAGAGUGGCGCACGGGUGCGUAACACGUAUGUAACCUGCCUUUAACUGGGGCAUAGCUUCGAGAAAUCGAAAUUAAUACCCCAUAAUGUAAAGAAGAGGCAUCUCUUUUUUACCAAAGCUCCGGCGGUUAAAGAUGGACAUGCGGUGCAUUAGCUUGUUGGUGAGGUAACGGCUCACCAAGGCUUCGAUGCAUAGGGGGUCUGAGAGGAUGAUCCCCCACACUGGUACUGAGACACGGACCAGACUCCUACGGGAGGCAGCAGUAGGGAAUAUUGGGCAAUGGACGCAAGUCUGACCCAGCCACGCCGCGUGAAGGAUGACGGCCCUAUGGGUUGUAAACUUCUUUUGUAUGGGAAGAAACCCCUCUACGUGUAGAGGGCUGACGGUACCAUAAGAAUAAGCAUCGGCUAACUCCGUGCCAGCAGCCGCGGUAAUACGGAGGAUGCAAGCGUUGUCCGGAUUCAUUGGGUUUAAAGGGUGCGUAGGCGGAGAAUUAAGUCAGUGGUGAAAGCUUGCAGCUUAACUGUGAAAAUGCCAUUGAAACUGAUUUUCUUGAGUUCGAUUGAGGUAGAUGGAAUGUAUCAUGUAGCGGUGAAAUGCUUAGAUAUGAUACAGAACACCAAUUGCGAAGGCAGUCUACUAAGUCGAUACUGACGCUGA
Molecule: ribosomal RNA, 682 nt
Filed under: uncultured bacterium
Lineage: Bacteria
Description: bacterial SSU rRNA
Rfam family: Bacterial small subunit ribosomal RNA
Source: RNAcentral